UGUAUGUAUAUGUGUAUUUAUUAUCAAGUGGUUAAAGGCAAAGAGGCAUCCUUUAAAAAUUGGAAAUAAAAUCCUAGUAAGGAAAAUAGAAGGGAACAUAACCUCUGGCAAGUCAAGUGUAACAGUAUAAUAAAGAAAGCCAAAAAAGAAUUUGAAGAACAACUAGGUAAAGACACAAAAACUCA
Molecule: long non-coding RNA, 185 nt
Organism: Dermochelys coriacea (leatherback sea turtle)
Lineage: Eukaryota; Metazoa; Chordata; Testudines; Dermochelyidae
Exons: 4
Source: RefSeq, a predicted model, not a curated record